This 253-nucleotide ribosomal RNA is filed under the name uncultured bacterium. RNAcentral describes it as "partial 16S ribosomal RNA". It matches the Rfam family "Bacterial small subunit ribosomal RNA", at positions 524 to 776 of the family's 1533-position model. The record is from RNAcentral.
UACGUAGGGAGCAAGCGUUGUCCGGAAUCAUUGGGCGUAAAGCGCGCGUAGGUGGCCCUGUAAGUCCGUUGUGAAAGUCAAAGGCUCAACCUUUGAAAGCCGAUGGAUACUGCGGAGCUAGAGUACGGAAGAGGCGAGUGGAAUUCCUGGUGUAGCGGUGGAAUGCGCAGAUAUCAGGAGGAACACCAAUAGCGAAGGCAGCUCGCUGGGACGUUACUGACACUGAGGCGCGAAAGCGUGGGGAGCGAACAGG